GAUUCAUUGGGCGUAAAGGGUGCGUAGGUGGCGCGGUAAGUCGGGUGUGAAAUCUCGGAGCUUAACUCCGAAAUUGCAUUCGAUACUGCCGUGCUUGAGGACUGGAGAGGAGACUGGAAUUCAUGGUGUAGCAGUGAAAUGCGUAGAGAUCAUGAGGAAGACCAGUGGCGAAGGCGGGUCUCUGGACAGUUCUUGACACUGAGGCACGAAGGCCAGGGGAGCAAACGGGAUUAGAUACCCCGGUAGUCCUGGCAGUAAACGGUGCACGUUUGGUGUGGGAGGAUUCGACCCCUUCCGCGCCGGAGCUAACGCGUUAAACGUGCCGCCUGGGGAGUACGGUCGCAAGAUUAAAACUCAAAGAAAUUGACGGGGGCCCGCACAAGCGGUGGAGUAUGUGGCUUAAUUCGAUGCAACGCGAAGAACCUUACCAGGCCUUGACAUGCAUUUCUAAGCGGGUGAAAGCCCGUGAGUCCCGAAAGGGACAACUUGCACAGGUGCUGCAUGGCU
This 507-nucleotide ribosomal RNA is filed under the name uncultured Verrucomicrobiota bacterium. RNAcentral's name for it is "bacterial SSU rRNA". It matches the Rfam family "Bacterial small subunit ribosomal RNA", at positions 548 to 1050 of the family's 1533-position model. Lineage: Bacteria; Pseudomonadati; Verrucomicrobiota. The record is from RNAcentral.